GAUGAACGCUGGCGGCGUGCCUAAUACAUGCAAGUCGAACGAGAUUUUAUUAAUUGAUUACUUCGGUAUGAUUUUUCUAGAAUCGAGUGGCGGACGGGUGAGUAACACGUGGGUAACCUGCCCUUAAGUAGGGGAUAACAUUUGGAAACAGAUGCUAAUACCGUAUAAACCUCAGAAACACAUGUUUCUGAGUUGAAAGGCGGCUUUCGAGCUGUCGCUUUUGGAUGGACCCGCGGCGUAUUAGCUAGUUGGUAAGGUAACGGCUUACCAAGGUGAUGAUACGUAGCCGAACUGAGAGGUUGAUCGGCCACAAUGGGACUGAGACACGGCCCAUACUCCUACGGGAGGCAGCAGUAGGGAAUCUUCCACAAUGGGCGCAAGCCUGAUGGAGCAACGCCGCGUGAAUGAAGAAGGUCUUCGGAUCGUAAAGUUCUGUUAUUAGAGAAGAACACGUGUAAGAGUAACUGAUUAUGCGUUGACGGUAUCUAAUCAGCAAGUCACGGCUAACUACGUGCCAGCAGCCGCGGUAACAC
RNAcentral lists this ribosomal RNA (533 nucleotides) under uncultured bacterium. Its description in RNAcentral is "bacterial SSU rRNA". It matches the Rfam family "Bacterial small subunit ribosomal RNA", at positions 28 to 526 of the family's 1533-position model. The record is from RNAcentral.